RNAcentral lists this ribosomal RNA (2641 nucleotides) under Streptococcus pneumoniae. RNAcentral describes it as "bacterial LSU rRNA". It matches the Rfam family "Bacterial large subunit ribosomal RNA". The record is from RNAcentral. Lineage: Bacteria; Bacillati; Bacillota; Bacilli; Lactobacillales; Streptococcaceae.
GGGCAAACCGAAGAGUUUACUCUUCGGGGUUGUAGGACUGCAAUGUGGACUCAAAGAUUAUAGAAGAAUGAUUUGGGAAGAUCAGCCAAAGAGAGUAAUAGCCUCGUAUUUAAAAUAGUCUUUGUACCUAGCAGUAUCCUGAGUACGGCGGGACACGUGAAAUCCCGUCGGAAUCUGGGAGGACCAUCUCCCAACCCUAAAUACUCCCUAGUGACCGAUAGUGAACCAGUACCGUGAGGGAAAGGUGAAAAGCACCCCGGGAGGGGAGUGAAAUAGAACCUGAAACCGUGUGCCUACAACAAGUUCGAGCCCGUUAAUGGGUGAGAGCGUGCCUUUUGUAGAAUGAACCGGCGAGUUACGUUAUGAUGCGAGGUUAAGUUGAAGAGACGGAGCCGUAGGGAAACCGAGUCUGAAUAGGGCGCCUUAGUAUCAUGACGUAGACCCGAAACCAUGUGACCUACCCAUGAGCAGGUUGAAGGUGCGGUAAGACGCACUGGAGGACCGAACCAGGGCACGUUGAAAAGUGCUUGGAUGACUUGUGGGUAGCGGAGAAAUUCCAAACGAACUUGGAGAUAGCUGGUUCUCUCCGAAAUAGCUUUAGGGCUAGCGUCGACAUUAGAGAUUCUUGGAGGUAGAGCACUGUUUGGGUGAGGGGUCCAUCCCGGAUUACCAAUCUCAGAUAAACUCCGAAUGCCAAUGAAUUAUGGUCGGCAGUCAGACUGCGAGUGCUAAGAUCCGUAGUCGAAAGGGAAACAGCCCAGACCACCAGCUAAGGUCCCAAAAUAAUUGUUAAGUGGAAAAGGAUGUGGGGUUGCACAGACAACUAGGAUGUUAGCUUAGAAGCAGCUAUUCAUUCAAAGAGUGCGUAAUAGCUCACUAGUCGAGUGACCCUGCGCCGAAAAUGUACCGGGGCUAAAACAAUUUACCGAAGCUGUGGAUACCUUUAUAGGUAUGGUAGGAGAGCGUUCUAUGUGUGAUGAAGGUAUACCGUGAGGAGUGCUGGAACGCAUAGAAGUGAGAAUGCCGGUAUGAGUAGCGAAAGACAGGUGAGAAUCCUGUCCACCGUAAGACUAAGGUUUCCAGGGGAAGGCUCGUCCGCCCUGGGUUAGUCGGGACCUAAGGAGAGACCGAAAGGUGUAUCCGAUGGACAACAGGUUGAUAUUCCUGUACUAGAGUAUGUAGUGAUGGAGGGACGCAGUAGGCUAACUAAAGCAGACGAUUGGAAGAGUCUGUCUAAGCAGUGAGGUGUGAAUUGAGUCAAAUGCUUAAUUCUAUAACAUUGAGCUGUGAUGGGGAGCGAAGUUUAGUAGCGAAGUUAGUGACGUCACACUGCCAAGAAAAGCUUCUAGCGUUUAAACAUACUCUACCCGUACCGCAAACCGACACAGGUAGUCGAGGCGAGUAGCCUCAGGUGAGCGAGAGAACUCUCGUUAAGGAACUCGGCAAAAUGACCCCGUAACUUCGGGAGAAGGGGUGCUGACUUAAAGUCAGCCGCAGUGAAUAGGCCCAAGCAACUGUUUAUCAAAAACACAGCUCUCUGCUAAAUCGUAAGAUGAUGUAUAGGGGGUGACGCCUGCCCGGUGCUGGAAGGUUAAGAGGAGUGCUUAGCGUAAGCGAAGGUAUGAAUUGAAGCCCCAGUAAACGGCGGCCGUAACUAUAACGGUCCUAAGGUAGCGAAAUUCCUUGUCGGGUAAGUUCCGACCCGCACGAAAGGCGUAAUGAUUUGGGCACUGUCUCAACGAGAGACUCGGUGAAAUUUUAGUACCUGUGAAGAUGCAGGUUACCCGCGACAGGACGGAAAGACCCCAUGGAGCUUUACUGCAGUUUGAUAUUGAGUGUCUGUACCACAUGUACAGGAUAGGUAGGAGUCUAAGAAAUCGGGACGCCAGUUUCGAAGGAGACGCUGUUGGGAUACUACCCUUGUGUUAUGGCCACUCUAACCCAGAUAGGUGAUCCCUAUCGGAGACAGUGUCUGACGGGCAGUUUGACUGGGGCGGUCGCCUCCUAAAAGGUAACGGAGGCGCCCAAAGGUUCCCUCAGAAUGGUUGGAAAUCAUUCGCAGAGUGUAAAGGUAUAAGGGAGCUUGACUGCGAGAGCUACAACUCGAGCAGGGACGAAAGUCGGGCUUAGUGAUCCGGUGGUUCCGUAUGGAAGGGCCAUCGCUCAACGGAUAAAAGCUACCCUGGGGAUAACAGGCUUAUCUCCCCCAAGAGUUCACAUCGACGGGGAGGUUUGGCACCUCGAUGUCGGCUCGUCGCAUCCUGGGGCUGUAGUCGGUCCCAAGGGUUGGGCUGUUCGCCCAUUAAAGCGGCACGCGAGCUGGGUUCAGAACGUCGUGAGACAGUUCGGUCCCUAUCCGUCGCGGGCGUAGGAAAUUUGAGAGGAUCUGCUCCUAGUACGAGAGGACCAGAGUGGACUUACCGCUGGUGUACCAGUUGUCUUGCCAAAGGCAUCGCUGGGUAGCUAUGUAGGGAAGGGAUAAACGCUGAAAGCAUCUAAGUGUGAAACCCACCUCAAGAUGAGAUUUCCCAUGAUUAUAUAUCAGUAAGAGCCCUGAGAGAUGAUCAGGUAGAUAGGUUAGAAGUGGAAGUGUGGCGACACAUGUAGCGGACUAAUACUAAUAGCUCGAGGACUUAUCCAA